CUGUGGGGCUGCGGACCGUGGACAUGAGGUGUGACUUGUAGGUCUUGCUCAGGCCAGUCAUCCAGAACUUCAGCAGCUUGACAUUGUCCUCCUCGGACGCACCCAGGAUGCUCAGCAGCUUCUGUGUGUCCUCUUUGGGUCGACUGUCCACCUUGGUGAACUUAAAAAGCACCUUCACUUUGCUGAAGAAAACCAAAACAAAA
Molecule: long non-coding RNA, 203 nt
Filed under: Homo sapiens (human)
Lineage: Eukaryota; Metazoa; Chordata; Mammalia; Primates; Hominidae
Description: HSALNT0237983
Source: RNAcentral